This 399-nucleotide ribosomal RNA is filed under the name uncultured bacterium. RNAcentral's name for it is "bacterial SSU rRNA". It matches the Rfam family "Bacterial small subunit ribosomal RNA", at positions 355 to 746 of the family's 1533-position model. The record is from RNAcentral.
UGAGGAAUAUUGCGCAAUGGGGGCAACCCUGACGCAGCAACGCCGCGUGAGUGAGGAAGGUUUUCGGACCGUAAAGCUCUGUCGAGCGGGAAGAAAUGCAUAGUGGCUAAUAUCCAUUAUGCUUGACGGUACCGCUAAAGGAAGCACCGGCUAACUCCGUGCCAGCAGCCGCGGUAAUACGGGGGUGCUAGCGUUGUUCGGAAUCAUUGGGCGUAAAGAGCGUGUAGGCGGCUGGAUAAGUCAGAUGUGAAAGCCCUGGGCUUAACCCAGGAAGUGCAUUUGAAACUGUUCAGCUUGAGUAAGGGAGAGGAAAGUGGAAUUCCUGGUGUAGAGGUGAAAUUCGUAGAUAUCAGGAGGAACACCGGUGGCGAAGGCGACUUUCUGGCCCUAUACUGACGC